GACGAACGCUGGCGGCGUGCUUAAUACAUGCAAGUCGAGCGAUGAUUAAAGAUAGCUUGCUAUUUUUAUGAAGAGCGGCGAACGGGUGAGUAACGCGUGGGAAAUCUGCCGAGUAGCGGGGGACAACGUUUGGAAACGAACGCUAAUACCGCAUAACAAUGAGAAUCGCAUGAUUCUUAUUUAAAAGAAGCAAUUGCUUCACUACUUGAUGAUCCCGCGUUGUAUUAGCUAGUUGGUAGUGUAAAGGACUACCAAGGCGAUGAUACAUAGCCGACCUGAGAGGGUGAUCGGCCACACUGGGACUGAGACACGGCCCAGACUCCUACGGGAGGCAGCAGUAGGGAAUCUUCGGCAAUGGGGGCAACCCUGACCGAGCAACGCCGCGUGAGUGAAGAAGGUUUUCGGAUCGUAAAACUCUGUUGUUAGAGAAGAACGUUAAGUAGAGUGGAAAAUUACUUAAGUGACGGUAUCUAACCAGAAAGGGACGGCUAACUACGUGCCAGCAGCCGCGGUAAUACGUAGGUCCCAAGCGUUGUCCGGAUUUAUUGGGCGUAAAGCGAGCGCAGGUGGUUUCUUAAGUCUGAUGUAAAAGGCAGUGGCUCAACCAUUGUGUGCAUUGGAAACUGGGAGACUUGAGUGCAGGAGAGGAGAGUGGAAUUCCAUGUGUAGCGGUGAAAUGCGUAGAUAUAUGGAGGAACACCGGAGGCGAAAGCGGCUCUCUGGCCUGUAACUGACACUGAGGCUCGAAAGCGUGGGGAGCAAUCAGGAGAGGAUACCCUGGUAGUCCACGCCGUAAACGAUCGCUGUGAAGGAGUGUAGGGAGCUAUAAGUUCUCUGUAGCGCAGCUAACGCAUGAAGCACUCCGCUUUGGAGUA
RNAcentral lists this ribosomal RNA (875 nucleotides) under Lactococcus garvieae. Its description in RNAcentral is "bacterial SSU rRNA". It matches the Rfam family "Bacterial small subunit ribosomal RNA", at positions 28 to 882 of the family's 1533-position model. Lineage: Bacteria; Bacillati; Bacillota; Bacilli; Lactobacillales; Streptococcaceae. The record is from RNAcentral.